RNAcentral lists this microRNA precursor (141 nucleotides) under Gossypium arboreum. RNAcentral's name for it is "MIR8643 microRNA precursor family". It matches the Rfam family "MIR8643 microRNA precursor family". Lineage: Eukaryota; Viridiplantae; Streptophyta; Magnoliopsida; Malvales; Malvaceae. The record is from Rfam by way of RNAcentral.
AUUUCUUUUAAUAUAUCAAGAAGUUGAAUUGACAGUGAAGAAAGAAGCAUGAAGUCGAAAGCCAUCAUUGCCUAUAACCAAAACUCAUACCAUGCUUCUUUCUUCACAGUCAAUUCAACUUUCUGAUAUGUUAAAAGAAAU